Micropterus salmoides (largemouth bass) is the source of this 672-nucleotide long non-coding RNA. RefSeq lists it as uncharacterized. The record is from RefSeq and is a predicted model, not a curated record. The transcript is spliced from 2 exons. Lineage: Eukaryota; Metazoa; Chordata; Actinopteri; Centrarchiformes; Centrarchidae.
UUCCUUUCUCUUGUUCACUCUGUUUUCUCUCCACCUCCCAUGUGGCGUGGGCUACCUCACCCUCUCCAUCUCAAUCUUUCCCCAAACACAAUGCUCAGUCUGGUGUUGCUGUGCGCUUUAUGGGAAGAAGAAAUGCUAAUAUACUCAUGGAGAAGCAGGCAACAAGCGUCCAGCCAUGAUGCCCACCAUGACUCCAUCUUCCUGACCAACAGUGUGGGCAGUCCUGGUGACAGUGUGCUGCCAUAACAACAGGGAGAUGUCAAGCUCACAGUGAAAUUUUGGUACCACUGUCAGUGAGAAUUUAGGUGCUUUCACUGGCUCAAAUAUCCAUGUUGCAGACCCUGCUGAUGAGCUGCUUGUUGCCUUCCAGUGCCCGUCACUAUGCCAGCCGUCUAAUGCUUCAGGGUGCUGGACUGCGCAGGCGGCAGGUGACACGGAUUUCAAUAAAAGGGAUUAUAGAUGUGGGGACUGCAGAGAGGAAAAACAACACAUUCGUGUACGCAUUUAGGGCAGAAGCAUGCCUGUGAAUAUACAGUAGACACAUACAAAAUUGACAUUGUGGAAAAUUUAAGAGCUAGCACUGGAAGAAUCAAUUAAGAGGCAGGUGGAAUGUGAUCUAAAUGUAAAACAAAAAUGUUUGUUUAACCUAGUAAAUUUUUUGUACACACAAGA